RNAcentral lists this ribosomal RNA (583 nucleotides) under uncultured bacterium. RNAcentral describes it as "partial 16S ribosomal RNA". It matches the Rfam family "Bacterial small subunit ribosomal RNA", at positions 355 to 928 of the family's 1533-position model. The record is from RNAcentral.
UGGGGAAUUUUGGACAAUGGGGGAAACCCUGAUCCAGCCAUCCCGCGUGUGCGAUGAAGGCCUUCGGGUUGUAAAGCACUUUUGGCAGGAAAGAAACGUCGCGGGUUAAUACCCCGCGAAACUGACGGUACCUGCAGAAUAAGCACCGGCUAACUACGUGCCAGCAGCCGCGGUAAUACGUAGGGUGCAAGCGUUAAUCGGAAUUACUGGGCGUAAAGCGUGCGCAGGCGGUUCGGAAAGAAAGAUGUGAAAUCCCAGAGCUUAACUUUGGAACUGCAUUUUUAACUACCGGGCUAGAGUGUGUCAGAGGGAGGUGGAAUUCCGCGUGUAGCAGUGAAAUGCGUAGAUAUGCGGAGGAACACCGAUGGCGAAGGCAGCCUCCUGGGAUAACACUGACGCUCAUGCACGAAAGCGUGGGGAGCAAACAGGAUUAGAUACCCUGGUAGUCCACGCCCUAAACGAUGUCAACUAGCUGUUGGGGCCUUCGGGCCUUGGUAGCGCAGCUAACGCGUGAAGUUGACCGCCCUGGGGGAGUACGGUCGCAAGAUUAAAAACUCAAAUGAAUUGACGGGGGUCAUAGCUG